RNAcentral lists this transfer RNA (73 nucleotides) under Deltaproteobacteria bacterium. Its description in RNAcentral is "tRNA-Asn". It matches the Rfam family "tRNA". From Rfam's summary of the family: Transfer RNA (tRNA) molecules are approximately 80 nucleotides in length. RNAcentral also lists the same sequence under 1 other name. The record is from RNAcentral. Lineage: Bacteria; Pseudomonadati; Myxococcota; Myxococcia.
GGGACUGUAGCUCAGGUGGUCUGAGCGGCCGUUUGUUAAACGGAGGGUGCUGGUUCGACUCCAGCCGGUCCCG